UACGAAGGGGGCUAGCGUUGCUCGGAAUCACUGGGCGUAAAGGGCGCGUAGGCGGCCAUUCAAGUCAGAGGUGAAAGCCCAAGGCUCAACCUUGGAACUGCCUUUGAUACUGUUUGGCUUGAGACCGGUAGAGGUAAGUGGAACUGCGAGUGUAGAGGUGAAAUUCGUAGAUAUUCGCAAGAACACCAGUGGCGAAGGCGGCUCACUGGCCCGAUACUGGCGCUGAGGCACGAAAGCGUGGGGAGCAAACAGG
Molecule: ribosomal RNA, 253 nt
Filed under: uncultured bacterium
Lineage: Bacteria
Description: partial 16S ribosomal RNA
Rfam family: Bacterial small subunit ribosomal RNA
Source: RNAcentral